GACGAACGCUGGCGGCGUGCUUAACACAUGCAAGUCGAACGGUGAAGGGACCAGCUUGCUGGUUCUGGAUGAGUGGCGAACGGGUGAGUAACACGUGAGUAACCUGCCCCCUUCUUCUGGAUAACCGCAUGAAAGUGUGGCUAAUACGGGAUAUUCUGGGUCUGUCGCAUGGCGGGCCCGGGAAAGAUAUUGCUUCGGUGGGGGAUGGGCUCGCGGCCUAUCAGCUUGUUGGUGGGGUGAUGGCCUACCAAGGCGGUGACGGGUAGCCGGCCUGAGAGGGGGGACGGUCACACUGGGACUGGGACACGGCCCAGACUCCUACGGGAGGCAGCAGUGGGGAAUAUUGCACAAUGGGCGCAAGCCUGAUGCAGCGACGCCGCGUGAGGGAUGGAGGCCUUCGGGUUGUAAACCUCUUUCGCCAGUGAAGCAGGCCUGCUCCUUGUGGGUGGGUUGACGGUAGCUGGAUAAGAAGCGCCGGCUAACUACGUG
Molecule: ribosomal RNA, 489 nt
Filed under: uncultured bacterium
Lineage: Bacteria
Description: partial 16S ribosomal RNA
Rfam family: Bacterial small subunit ribosomal RNA
Source: RNAcentral